Non-coding RNA from Phascolarctos cinereus (koala), 488 nucleotides. Lineage: Eukaryota; Metazoa; Chordata; Mammalia; Diprotodontia; Phascolarctidae. The record is from RefSeq and is a predicted model, not a curated record.
UUCCCCCCUCCUCUUUCUCCUUCUCUCAGCCCGCCCAUUAAGCUCUCCUUCCCCUUAGCUUAGAUCUGUCUGUGUAUUGGCUCAGGAGCACUGUCACUCACUGUCAGCUUGCCGCCUCCACCUCCUGGUCCCUGCUCAGGUGUCAGACACCCUGUAGGCCUGCUUUGGAGAAGGAGAAUGGCCAGGGUGGGGUGGGUCGGAGCGGAAAGGCAGAGGAGAGAGAAGGCCUCCCCACCCCGGUGCAAACGUACACUCUUCUCUACUUUUGCUACUGUGCUUUCCCAGUUUGGUUGAGUCGCAGUGAGAGCAGCUAAGUGCAGAGUAUCUACAAUGUUAUAGGACUUGGUGAAACCAGAAAAAAUUCAUCACCCUAUGAUGGAGGACCUUGCCAUAUUAACAAGCAAAUUAUUCUUCAACUUGGACUCAAUAUUGUAUUUCAUCCAUGAUAAUGGUGAAUGCCACUGAAAAGUAAACAUCCUCCUUUUUCA